This 454-nucleotide ribosomal RNA is filed under the name uncultured Paludibacter sp. Its description in RNAcentral is "partial 16S ribosomal RNA". It matches the Rfam family "Bacterial small subunit ribosomal RNA", at positions 341 to 792 of the family's 1533-position model. Lineage: Bacteria; Pseudomonadati; Bacteroidota; Bacteroidia; Bacteroidales; Paludibacteraceae. The record is from RNAcentral. RNAcentral also lists the same sequence under 1 other name.
ACGGAAGGCAGCAGUGAGGAAUAUUGGUCAAUGGACGGAAGUCUGAACCAGCCAAGUCGCGUGCGGGAUGAAGGCCCUACGGGUCGUAAACCGCUUUUGUACGGGGAUAAAGUCACCCACGUGUGGGUGUUUGUAGGUACCGUAAGAAUAAGGAUCGGCUAACUCCGUGCCAGCAGCCGCGGUAAUACGGAGGAUCCGAGCGUUAUCCGGAUUUAUUGGGUUUAAAGGGUGCGCAGGCGGGCUGCUAAGUCUCCGGUGAAAUGUCAGGGCUCAACCUUGGCACUGCCGGAGAUACUGGCGGCCUUGAGAGUGGCGGAGGUAUCCGGAAUGUGUGGUGUAGCGGUGAAAUGCUUAGAUAUGUCACAGAACCCCGAUUGCGAAGGCAGCUUACCAGCAUACAACUGACGCUGAGGCACGAAAGCGUGGGUAUCAAACAGGAUUAGAUACCCUGGUA